This is a long non-coding RNA of Brassica napus (rape), 1281 nucleotides long. RefSeq lists it as uncharacterized. NCBI's taxonomy places the organism in Eukaryota, Viridiplantae, Streptophyta, Magnoliopsida, Brassicales, Brassicaceae. The transcript is spliced from 2 exons. The record is from RefSeq and is a predicted model, not a curated record.
AAAUAAACAACAUAUAAUCAGUAUGAAAAUGCAAAAAUAAUAUAGAAGAUCAAAUGUUAAAUUUAACAAGAGAUUAAUAUAAGAAAUCUAUCUUCAUUUGCUAAUGUUGUAGACAUUUUUCGAUUUAUUGAUUUUAAAUUAUGUAUAACUUUUAAGAAAUUUGUUACUAAAACAAUCAAAAUAAUUAUAAACAAAUAACCCGGGCGUAGCCCGAACAAAAUCCCUAGUUAUUUAUAUCUUACAAUACUAAAAGUUCUAAAAGUGUCCACAUCAUCUGUUUAAUUCCACCAAUCAUAAGGUUGUCUGAUGCCACGUCAUGCCGUCAUCGAUCGAUAACAGAUUAAUAGUGUGUAAGUUUUUUUUUGGAAUGAUAUGGGCUUUCUCAUAUGAUCUGUAAAUAUUUUUCUCUCUAUAACUUAAUGCCGCGAAUUUCUUUUCCUUUUCACUAUUAGUCCUAACUCCUAACUUAAGAGUAAAUAAAAAAACGUAUGAAUUAUGAUCUAUAAAUGAAAGAUAUAUCUUAAACAUACGUAUUUAAUUCGAUCGGUGACAUUCAUGCCGAAGAUGAACGGUUUGGAACUUAUAUAUAAAAGUGAAAAGAAUAACUCAAAGAACAAAAUUACAUUAGAAUCACCUUCCACUCUUCCAUUUCACUUUUUGCUUUCAGAAGCCAGAGAGCUGCUACGAUUUGCCUCAUGAUCUUUUUUUCCAAAACAAAAACUCUCGAACCUAUUUUAGUUGCUGGCAAAUUCAUGCCUCUUCCAUAUCACCGUAUCCUCCUCAUUUUCUGUCGGUGGAGGUCGUCUAUUGUGGUGUUGGAUCACCGGGACAGAGGAAAGUCCACAGACUACGACGAGUGAAUCUUGAUGAACUAGGUGCCAUGGAAUAAUCGCUGGAAGGCUAACUCAAUAUUGCUUUCACGGAGAGUAAAUCUCUCUUCGCCGCGCUUAAGAGCAGAAACAUGGCUGAUCGGCUUCUUCCACUAAGAGGAAGCAUGCGUCUAGGAGAUAAGAAGAUCAAAAGGAUGCUGAAGUUGACGCAUUAGAGCUACACCACCAUCGACGAUCUGGAGAAAGUAUCCAUGGCCGUCGCUUCUCAAAUUAAUGGCGGCGGAGGAGGCACGAAAUGAAGCUAUUGGCGGUGGUGGUCAGUUCUAGGUUACAAACAAAUCUACUGAUCUCUUUGUCUCAAUAUCUAACACAAUUUUGGUGUAUUUCUUCUACGAUUUAAUUUUCUUAGGUUGUGAUUAAUAAAAAUUGUCAUUUUAUUUUUUUACUUACU